UUUUCCAAGGUUGACCUCGGAUCAG
This 25-nucleotide ribosomal RNA is filed under the name Phyllosticta ilicis-aquifolii. RNAcentral's name for it is "partial 28S ribosomal RNA". The record is from RNAcentral. Lineage: Eukaryota; Fungi; Ascomycota; Dothideomycetes; Botryosphaeriales; Phyllostictaceae.